RNAcentral lists this ribosomal RNA (450 nucleotides) under uncultured bacterium. Its description in RNAcentral is "bacterial SSU rRNA". It matches the Rfam family "Bacterial small subunit ribosomal RNA", at positions 29 to 524 of the family's 1533-position model. The record is from RNAcentral.
AACGAACGCUGGCGGCAUGCCUAACACAUGCAAGUCGAACGAAGCCUUCGGGCUUAGUGGCGCACGGGUGCGUAACACGUGGGAAUCUGCCCUUCGGUUCGGAAUAACAGUUAGGAAUGACUGCUAAUACCGGAUGAUGACGUAAGUCCAAAGAUUUAUCGCCGAAGGAUGAGCCCGCGUAGGAUUAGGUAGUUGGUAGGGUAAUGGCCUACCAAGCCGACGAUCCUUAGCUGGUCUGAGAGGAUGAUCAGCCACACUGGGACUGAGACACGGCCCAGACUCCUACGGGAGGCAGCAGUGGGGAAUAUUGGACAAUGGGCGAAAGCCUGAUCCAGCAAUGCCGCGUGAGUGAUGAAGGCCUUAGGGUUGUAAAGCUCUUUUACCAGGGAUGAUAAUGACAGUACCUGGAGAAUAAGCUCCGGCUAACUCCGUGCCAGCAGCCGCGGUAAU